Molecule: long non-coding RNA, 1002 nt
Filed under: Pogona vitticeps (central bearded dragon)
Lineage: Eukaryota; Metazoa; Chordata; Lepidosauria; Squamata; Agamidae
Description: lncRNA (ENSPVIG00000014051.1)
Source: RNAcentral
GUUGGUUUAUUGUUAGGUAGUUUGUGAGUUAUUUGGAAGUAUAAUUCUGAGCUGAUCUUGCACAAUUCUUGAUCUUUCCAGUGGUCUAUUGCACACAGAUAGGCUUCUUUUGGCAUUUUGAUACGGAAACAGAGUGAGCAAAGAGCACUUGAAGAUGCAUAUAACUACAGAAUCACAGCAAAAACCUUUCUAUAUCAACCUUUCUGUUGAUAUAGUGGCCAACCAGUUGUUUAUAGAAAGCCCACAAGCAUGACCUGAAAAUAUUUAAAACAUUGCUGUAGAUAUCAUCGGUGCUUCAGGGGCCAGAAGUCUUGGAGUCUGGUUCAGAUGGAGCAGAGAAGAUUCGGCACUUCAGUUUCAUGCUUCCCCUGAAUCCCAGCUUGUGACUGUUCCUUUUGAAGGGGUACUUGAAUUUAUAUUUUGAGAUCUACAGCAUGGAAAAAGAGCAAGGGAUGCCGCAAGGCGGAGUUCGAAGGAGAUGCUUUGAAACGCAAUGGAAUCAAGUCUCGGAGGCGGGACUGGUAGUGUGUAAGAUCUGCCCCUGCUCUCGCAGCAGGGCCCUCUUUCCUGGAACUGGAGAAAACGAAGAGCCAAGCUGUCGCCAGUCGGGAGUUAAGAUCAAGCUCUAGCUCGGUCCUCACAGCUUUUUAGGGUUGCAAGGAUUCUAGCUGUGUGGUUGUUUCGCCCCGGCGAGACGAAAGAGUUGGGGGAAGGGGGAGGCGGUGUGGAAACGGAGAGCAUGCCUUCUGUCGGAAUCGCAAAGAAAAAGCUGCGCAGGAUGGAAACCGUCUCUUGGGAAUUCCCAACGUUAUCUGGAAGCGAGGGUGAAAACAUGUACAAGGAUGCGGACGUUAAGAUAUCCAGCUGGAGGAAUACAUCGGAAAUGCAAAAGAGGUUGCUACGAGGAUGAACUGGUAGGAUGUAACUUCACACAGUUUAGCAUUUGCUGAGGUGUUCAAUUCCAGAAAUAAAUUUAAAGAGUGAAAUAUCUUAUUACGUCCU